Molecule: long non-coding RNA, 9997 nt
Organism: Falco peregrinus (peregrine falcon)
Lineage: Eukaryota; Metazoa; Chordata; Aves; Falconiformes; Falconidae
Exons: 3
Source: RefSeq, a predicted model, not a curated record
UUAACUUGAUCUGUGCAGUUUGUGUUUGUUUUCUCAGUGUUCACAAUUACACGCUGUAGACAGUGACUUCUGGGCCUUUUAGAGCUGCCGAUCAGAAGGCAAAUGGGAGAUAAGUAUUCUGAAAAAAAAGAACCAGACUGUAGGCUGUGUUGUGCUCUUUAUGUAUUUUCCAGCUGGUUUUGCUUCUAACCUUCAGCAUUCCUCAUGGGACACUGAUGCAAAUCUGCAUUCGCUUUUUUUGCUCUUUGUGUAUAACACACAAGACCUAAAGGAAAGCAGUAAUUUGCAACAUUAGGAAAUGUGGCUCAGUGUCCCGGGCCCCAGUGUGAACAUGCACAUUUGAAUAUAAAUGAAAGUGGGCCAGAACCCCCUUGAAGCGUGGAGCUGAUGCAGACUGCCUGCCCUUUCCGCUUUAAGUACUGUAUUUUUUUAUUAUUUUUUUUCCCCUCCUUUGCCGAUCAACAGCUACCAUAUGGGCUGAGCUUCAGCCAGUCAACUACUAAAUUACAAACGCUCUUUUGACUGUAAAUUGAAUGGAAAAGGAUGUCAGUUACCGCUUUCCUCCUGUGGCCCCACCACAAGAGCACCUGCAGUAAAGAGGUGGCAUUCACGCUCUGCGAGACACCCCACGCUGCUGCUGUUAGCCCAGCAGCUCGAGCCUUGGCUUUGCCUACCCCACUGCUGUCACAGCGAAAAGAUGGCAAAGAUAAGAGCCUCACUUUUGAAGAUCAGCUCACUUAGAGGCAUGUCUCGGCACUUAUCCACAGUAUUUUGUUUCCACUAAAGGAAGUAAAAAUCUGCUGGGGAAGAUGGCUAUCGGUGGUGUCCUUCAAAGAGGAGCCUUUGACUUAGGCAUAUGUUUACCGUAUUUAUUCUGACAUUUGUUAUGAAAUUAUAACUGCUUUCUCAGAGAACCUCGCACAGUGACAGGUUCAGCUCCCUUACAGGGUUAGCUGGUUUCCAGCCUGAAUGCUGGAACAAAACGAUGCUGUUUCUUGCCUGUGCAAAGGUGGUCUGGAAUGUGACCGUUCCUCUGUCCCCCAGAGUGUGCGAAGAGGAUUUGGGCAGGGAGAAGCUGCUGAUGUCUGGAAGCGGUGAGCUGGGCAAUCCGUGAAGGGAGACAGCUGUUAGGCCAAGAGAGGUGCCUUGUAUCCCGAUACGUAACAUGGCAGCUGAGCUGGGGGGCAGGCCGGGAGCGAGCCUGCAGCUGCUGCUGGCAAGGGCCUGCCAGCCCUGGGGUUCUAGGAAGGCUGGUGGAACUCUCCGUCAUCUGCUGUGCUCAUUAACUCUUCCUUUCCUACUUAGAUACAGAUGCAUGUGUGUCAUUAUUGAACUAGCCAGAAUGUUGACUCGGCCUGUGAUUUAAAAUAAUUGGGAAGAAGGGGCAGUUUAACAAUGAGGAUAUUUUCUUUUACCUUCUGAAGCCUAAAGCUACAUGGCUGGCUAAAGUAUUAUUUUUGUGGAGUUCCCCAGUGCAUUGCUGGAUGCAUUACAUAUCUGCCUUAUGGCUUUUGUCCCGAAACUCCUUAAAGUUCAGUGCCUACAAGCAUAAACUCCACUCGUGAAUCACUGGAGGGUAGUCGUUAGGUCAAGGCUCAGCACGCUGAAAAAAGUAUUACAGUGCUAAGGACUUUAUGGGGUGACCAAGUAACAUUCAGUAUGUUAAUUUACAAUUACUGCUUAUGACUUACAAUUGUACCGAUCGGAGGCCUUGAGCAUUUCUGCCGGUGUCAAACCCCACAAAACGCAGUCGAAUAUUCUAACAUUAAGCUGGCUGUGCAAUUCUGGUAAUUAUCCGGCAGCGUGUAACAUUUAAGAGGUCGUGUAUUUUUAUGUAUCAUACUGUGUAGUUGUCCUUCUCCCCGGAACUGAGCAGAUGAUAGGAGCUACUGCUGUUUGAAUAAUCUCAAAGCAAGAUGCUGAUGUUCGAAAGUUGUUUUUAGAAAAUUUCCUGUAUCUUUAGAGGGCUUUAAUGUCCUUUCUUCUGAGAUGGUAGAUGACACCUUACAUAAUGAGUACUGUCAGAUGGGUUCAUCCUUGGUUCCUCUCCCGGCCCUGGGCCACCUUUUAGCAUUCAUGCAUAUUAUGACUACUUUAACUAACGUGCCUAUAAAGUAUUUCCACAUGUUUAUUGAGCUUAGAGUCAGAAAAUUAAAUUGUGUUUUAUGGUGAGUUUUUUGGAUAUCCAUUUGUGCCCUUGUUUCCUACCAGCUGUGCAGUGCUGAAAAUUAAUAGCUCAGGUUUCCAUUACCUGUACCUUUUAUGGAUGUUUAGCCUUCGUUCUGCUUUUGUUUCUUAUUCUAAACAUUUUGUAGCUAAAGCAGGCAUGUGUACAAUAUUUGUUGCUUUUUAAUAAAACCUGUAGGGUUCUUUUUAUUAUUUGUACUAUUUAAAACAGGUUUGGAGAGAUGCCGUGGCACAGCUGGCAUCUAGAAAUCUUGUAGCUGCUUCACACCAUGAAAGCAUGCUUUGUGCCUGAUACGGGACAUCUUGCUGCAGUCGUUCUGCUUUGGACAUGUCAGUCAUGUACACAGCGUGGGGAUAGGUGUUGCUUCCUUUGGACUGUGUGAAAGUGGUGCUGGCAGCAUAGAAAGAGUUGGGCUGAAGUAACUUUCUUCCAUUAGAAGAAAAAAAAUCUGAAAAAAAUAAGGUCUGAAUUGUAUCUAGAGUUUUUUUCCCUAAUAGGAAAGCAGAUUUGGUGCAGAAUCAAAACACCUCAAGUCCUUUUGCCGUUUGCACACACAUCCUGAAGGGAAGUUGACAAAAUGAAGCAACUGCAGAGCCUCAUCACUGAGGAUCUCCUUUGCAGGGGUUCUCACUUGCAGCUUUGCGCUUGAGGAAAGUGUACUUGUGACCCAGGAGAGAGCUUUCAUUUUUCAAGAGGAAGGCUGGCAAAGAUCUCGGUCCACCUAUCAAGUCCCUUUUCAUAGAAGACACUCAUGAAAAAAAUAUGAGAGUUGGGCCUACGCAUGGGGCAGAUACUUCACUUUUCACUGGUGAUAGAGUUCUGGCCACUACAAACAUUAGUCACUUGGAGUUCUUCCCUUGGCAUCGUGUGUUUCUCAUCAAAAAUGAAGGCAGUUUUCAGCCAGGAGCGAAGCAUCAAAUUACCCAGUGUUAUUGAAUGCUGAAAUAUAAAGUAGUAGGGCUUUUACUACUGCAAAUAACGUGGUAGCAUGCUCAGUUACUGUGUUCAUACCCCAUUCCGCUGCUGUUGCUGGCUUAUGUAGGUAGAGUUUGAAUGCAGGUUUGGUUCAUGCCCAUCUUUCUAUAGUCAUAUUGAUUGAUUUGAAAGUUUAUAUUUGAAAAUCACUUUGCAUUAUCUCCCCCCUGAUUUUGACUUCAGUGAAAAAUGGCUGGACCCAAAUUGCCAUGCUUUGUGGAUGGGAUUUGUUUGUUUUCUGUGGCUAGUUGCUGACUGGAACCUCAUCUGCACGUUUGUAUUGGCUUUUUAUUUUCAGUUGUCUCUGAAUCUGUCCAGUGAUUAGUUUGUUGACAGAUGGCUUUUCCCUUGAAUAAGAUACAGUGACUAGAUGUUCUGAAUGUCCCAGAAGGGCUCUGGCAUUUGUCCUCAGGACAAUGAAAAACACCCUGGCAUUUUCUGCCUUCUCUGAAUUUGCCUUUCAUUUGUGUAUUGUAUGGAUUCCUCUAAGGAUAUAGAAAGAAAAAUGUUAAAAUAUGGUUAUACCAAGAAAACUGGCAGUUAAAAAAAAGCCUUUUACUCAGCAAACCUGCAGUUGCUGUGUAUUGCAGCUCACACUUCCUUGCCUCAGUAAAUGGCUAUGUUUUCUACCACUGUUUGAAGCUACCACAGCAAAAAAAAAAAAAAAAGAGAAGGAUUGAUUUGAUUCCACUUGCUUUAUUUUGACUGAGUUCCCAUCCCUUGCACCCCUGCAAAUGGUUUGUGGCUCUGAGGUUGCACAAACAAUGCAGGCAGCACAAUAGCAAGACAACAGGGUUUUCACAUGGGAAUAGUGGGAGCUGUGGGACUCUGCCUCAGUGGUGAUGUGCAAGAAGAAAAGAACUUAAUCUGACUCUGUCUCCAGUUUGAGUCUGCAGGGUUGGCACCUAUGGGAGAGGAGGAUCCAUCUCUGUAUUUUUGAUAUGUUAACCAGCCUUGAAGUGGAUCUGCUGAAAUGCAAUCACUGAAACACGCUGAACCCAGGCAUCCUGUGAUGCUAAGACUGGUUCCUUUUCUGAAGGGGAAAGAACAUCAAAAUUAUUAUACUUUCUAUAAUCUCUUAAUCACAGCUCUCAUGAAACAAAAGCUUUCUAAGAGCAUCCUUUCUUCAACAGUUACAGACAAAAAAGCCUCAUUUAAGUAAUGCGCUUGCUGAACCCACUGUGCUGCUGCAGCUGGUACUGGGGACAAGCUCACCCUCUUCCCCACUGACAGUGAUGUGCACAAAUCCACUCUGCUUUUUUUUUUUUUUUUUUUUUUCUUUUCACCACACCAAAUUCUUCAGUUUUGCACAUGUGAGUCAACUUGUAAAAAUGACUCACAAGCUCAUUCCAGCCCUUCUGAAUUGGGAGCCCAAUUAAAAUACUACUUGUAAUGCACAUAUUGAAGAGAACGAAAACUGUCUGUUCCUGAGUGUCAGGCAUUAGCACAGCAUAUCUGAAGGCCUGGCCUGAGCUACUCUGAUACUUGCCAGCAGAAAACCUUGUGUUUAAUUAAGAUACAAGUAACAGAAAAAAUAUUUUGAAAAUCGAGUCAGGUAGGAAAAAAAAAAAAUAUAAUUAAACUAUAAAAUUGGUUCAUUAUCAAUGCAUCAACGUUUAUUUCAUUUAAUUAUUUGUUUUAAAAUAUUUAUGUGUAUAUAUAUAUAUACACAUACAAUGUUGCUGGAUGGAAUGUUUUAUUUAUAAGACACUGCAAAGGUGGUUUUUCUGCGGGGCUACAAUACCUGGCAAUCGGCUGCUUCUGUUGCUGGUUUGCUUUUUGAAUAGACAUUGUCUUAGGUUUCAUGUGUCUUCUGGGCAGGUGCCCCUAUAGAACUGGUAAUGUCCUGUAAUGGUAAUUCCUCACAAUCUCAGUCUUUGGCCUUCAGUGAGCCUUUACGUCAGGACCAGCCAAUCUUUUCGACAUUGCCACCCACGUACCAAAAUUCCCUCUGGAAGGUGAUCCUGGGGAUCUCGGCAGUAGCUGUACUGCAGCACCAGGACACAGUUGACAUAGUCUGAGCAUCAACUUGUAUUUUGACCGGUAUAAGUCACAUAUCGUCCAAAACUAGGCCUCGUCUGCGCCAGCACCACAUCAGCAAUCUGAUUUUUGCCAGCAGGCGAAGGUCUACAGAGGGAACGUGCUGGCUGGACAACAUGUCAUCCCAGCUCAGCAAGGAUGAUGUCUGUGAUAUUGACACAUGGCCCUUCAACUGACAUUACUCUCUGGCAUAUUCAUCAUAAGCACUUUUAUCUCCAAGAUGUUUCUGUGGCAUCACAGCCAACCUUAGGGCAAGAAGGUGGGAGCUGCAGCAAAAGGCAAGGAAUCAUUCAAGGGAAAGAUAUUUCAGAGUGCAAUUGCUUCCUGGUGUUAUCUGCUCUAUCCAGCCAUGGCCUUCCUUUUCACAGGCUUCUGUGACUGCCGCAGAAUAGAGGUCAUACCCAGGAGCAGCGCUUGCCCAAAUUCUCCUACCUGGUCCCAUACCACCAUUGUAACUUACAGCCAGUUUCCAGAGCAGUGGGUAUAAAGCAGCAAGGUCUGUAAGCCUGGUGGUACCACGUAACCCGCCUUCUACAGCUGAGCGAAAAAAAACCCCAGUCUUACAUUAAAGGGAUUCACUGACAAAAGCAACAACCUUAAAAGAGAACUAUUUAAAUAAACAGCUUUUCUGGUUUAAGUUCUAAUUGAAAAGAAGAAAAUGAACUGAUCAGACAUUGUGGGAACAACACAUGCGGGAAUGUAUUUUUCUUCAAAUACAAGUCUAGUAAAUGUAAAGAUGAAACCUGAUCUUUGUCCUAGCAAAGUUCAAACAUGCACAUAUUGUUACCACUUACCAGUAUGUAAAUAACAUAUAUGAAUCAUUGCCAGUAGGUGGUAGUGUGUGUUUUUCAGAUACGUUUGUUAGUACUGCAAGUGUUUCAUGUUUGAGGUGAUUUUUUGUCAUCUUUAAUGUAUGAUCUCAAACCAUCAUUGCUUUGAAUUCAGGCCCUGGUUUCACUGAUUUAAUAGUUCUGCUUCACAAACAUCAGCCCAUCGCAGAGAGGCAUAUUUUGAUUUUCAAGCUUAUGGACAAACCUAACUGGAAACAUUUUGAAAAGUGCCAAUUAGUAUGAGCCCUGAGAAUUCAAAUGCCUGUAUUCAUUGGAAUGAUUGGAUUGCUCUCUAGUGUUUCAUUUUAGGAGGAGAGCUUUUGAUAAAUAAAUGCAUUAUUUUAAUGAUUUAUAAACUUAGAACUGCUCUGUCAUAGAGGCUUUUUUCGAAUCCCUGAAAGAGCUCACUGGAAAAGGAGCAAUACAGUUACUGGACAUCCAGUUCCUGUCAGUGUCUCACUGAGCUGUGUAAGGAAAGGCAGUGCCCAGCUGGAAGAGACUAGGAGUUUUGGUGGAAACCAUCCCUUCCUUGGCCCCUGUGGUUUUUCUUGCUGAGAACAAUCUACACAAAAUCAGUGCUGUUCCCCCAACUCACCACACAGGAAGAGAUGCCCACUUCCCCCCGUGAGAGUAGUUACUAUGUCUCCUGUGAGUACGUCGCUGGCUGCCCGGGGGGACAUUCAUCCUUCCCCAGGUAAUGACCAAGCUGCCCUCGCAGCCUGGCUGGUGCUCUCCGACUGCCUUUGUUGUGCUUUUGGGAAGGGACUGAAUUUUUGUUUGGCGGAAGAAGGGGAUGCCAGUGGUAAAGAUUCCUUCUGUGGUGUUGCCUGCCAGGAAGCGAGGCAGAGGUUGGGAAAGGCUCUAUAAAUAUUUCUGCAAUAACUCAAAGGCAGUGAGCAUUUGGGUUGAUUUGUUUUUCCUGGGGUACAUGAGACUGCUCUCCUCUGUGCAGGUGUCUGAUUCAUGUGGGGCUUCCUUUUUCUUUCUUUUCCUACUUGUUUCCUGCCUCUGCAAUUGUUGCUUGCACUUGUAGCACUUUUACUCAGCCCGGCAGUCCCACUGAAUGCAAUCAGGUUAUUUGUGCAAACACUUUUCAUCAUGAAUAUGGUCUGCAGAGUCAGACCUUUUGCUUCUUCCUUCUGCUUCUAACCUGUCCCUCCCAAGUUUCCUUUCUCAUUGUUUUUCCUUUCACUUAUGUCUGCCUGCUGUUAGAGCAAGCUAGCAGAGAAGGAAGUGGGGGAGGGCUGUUUCUGCAGGGGUUUCAGUGCAAAUAGUUGCAUGGCUUAUAAUUUCUUGAGCAGGUCAGGCUCUUCUUGGCCUGCACUCAGGCUGAGAGAGGAUCACUCGUUGCCAGGUGAGGUUAAUGUUUGUGCCACCAGUGUCCACAGGCUAUGCUGGCAGGAACAGUCAGGGAGUGAGCAGUAAUGGGCCCUGCCCAGAAGCAGAAUUAGUGUAGCCCAGAGGAGCUGUGCAGGAGACCUGUGUCUGACUCAGGAUGAACAGAUUCCCAUGGAGCUCGAGGAGUUGUAGCCCUCCGGCACAUGGAGGAAGGCUUAGGCAUAUGGAUGAGCCAAACUACCAAAACAGAAACCUUCCGUCUUCGGUGGUGAAUGAGUCCUGGUUUCACUUGACUGCAGUUUUUUGUCUCCAUUAAUGACAGAAAAUGCCAUGUGAUAUAGGUAGGUGUUGGAGGUGAUCAUGCAAGCUUGCAGCCUGUUUCCAGUCCCAUGCAGCCAUGUCCAAGCACUCUAGGAUGGAGGUGAAAUAUAAGUUAACCUGCCCUGUUUGCCUUCCUGGAUUAUCCAUUGUUCUUAACCUGUUCCCUUGGAACCUAAUUUGACCAUGCAGUAGAAGGUGGGAUGGAACGUGAUUUUGUGAAGAACUUCCUGCCUGGAAAUGAUACCAAGUUAGCCAUCUAAAGUUGGGAGUCCAUUUGGAAGGUGCCGACCUUAAUAUUUCUGUUCUGCUUUCUGUGUUUCAAAUGGUAACUGCUAGAGGCAAACUCAAGCAAGAGACAUCUAUGCUGCCCUGGUGUGCGUCCUCCCCAAUAUAUAAAUGUAGCUGUUAGUAUAUUGAUAACAGAAAACAGAUUAGUAAGAGUUGGGUUUGAGCUUGGACAUUGAGUUUUGUGGGUAAUGUAGAUUAUGGAAGGGAGGAAUCUCAAGGUCAGAAGCUGAUUGUAUCAUGUGGAAGGCAAGAAACCACAAACUCAGUAGUAGAGAAGUGUUGUGUUGCAGAAGUGAGAACAGAGAUGUUAAUUUAGCAAUUGAAAUCAACCAUGCUGGAGACUUUUAAAUUGUGUUUUAUUUGUAUAGAAACAGUCAGUCCAUCCUGGAACAACAGUAUCUCCGCUGGUUGUUUCUCUGUCAUCUUAUUCGGUGCACUAGUGACGACAUCGUGAUGCGUGGUGAUAGGUCUCAAAAUUCAACUUUGAGUUUUCUAUUCAGAAUUAAGGAGAGGAGUAGGAGGUAGCUUUAUCUAAGUGUACACUACCUAAUCUGUGAAUGAAUACAAAAUGUGAGCGAGGUGGGACAUUGUUCCUGUAACAGGACCAACUCAUCAGCGCUACAGCACUCUUAAAAAAAAAAAAAACAAACAAAAAAAUGUUCCUUCUAAAAUUAUAUAUAACACGAGGCUGCGCGAUCCCGAAGCUUUUCCUCUGGAUUUAAUUCUCCCUCUUGAGUUAACAUCAUCUGAAAUACAAAAUCUAAGAACAUAAUAACUGUUACUUCCAUCUUCCUUUCAACAUUUUCUUUCUGCUAGGAGGCAGGAAAAGCAUGAGGGUGACACUUUAGUUCAUACUCUCACCCCUAGCUGCCAGAGAUGUAGAAGCCAGCAGGCUCUGACAAGGCACUUUUGGUGAAGCUGAGCUGGGGCUUCUUCCAUUACAUCUUCCCAGUGCAGCUGUGAGGGAAGUCCUGACUGGGAGCCUUUAGCACCGAGUGUGGUGCAUAAGCCAGUAGACUGAUCUGCAACUUACUGGCUGGAAGUAGGACAAAUGGUUCUAGAAACCCCAUCAACUUUCACCCAACACCUUUGCUUCCUGUUGUAGACCGUGCAAGCUAAAAGCACAAUUGAAGGUUUGGGUUCUUUAUCUGAAGUACAAUUUUGACUGGGAGUUACUAAAAGGCAGUAAAAGUGGAAGCAUAUUUUGCUGCUUUUUUUUUUUUUUUUUCUCUCUCCAGAGUCCCUUCUCAUUGAUUGCCAUUUGCGGAAUGAGGAUGUCGAAUUUGCCACGUUGCACAAAGUUGUGGCAGCUGUUCCAUAUUGCUAAAUUGGAAAUUAAAAUGGAGAUCUAUUCAAAUUGUCUGACACUUCCAGCAAGCUUGAAAGCAAUGCUUUAAAAUAUAACAGAACUCUAAUUUGGGUCCUGAGGGAUAGUCAGUAACAUUGAAAGCACACGUCUUUUUCCAAAUGGUCUUUAACUGCUUUGUGUCUUUUCCUUUUCCUUGCUAAAUUCUGCUUUCUGUGGCAGCCAUGUGAUCCAGCCGAAGUCAACAGGUUUGCUGAGAACGUCAAAGACCAAAUCCUAGGCGAGAACAUUUCAGCAGGUCUAGUCUGUUAUGACAAUAAAUAUUUUCAGGAAUGUUUAAGCUAUGCUAACCUUUAAAAAGGAAUGGAUCACAUUUCUAUUUUCUUUCUUGAUAAAUGUGUGGUGCCUGAAUCUUCUUAACAGUUUCUUCAUCUAAAGAUAAGACUGGAUUUAUCUGUAUCUGUAGAGGGUAAUGCAAUCUCUUGGUUCAGGAAUUUGUGGAGGUCAGCCUUUUGCCUGUCAACACACAAUCAAAGCUAACUUUUGAUCCUAGUGCUGCUGCUUUAGUAACACUAAUUUUAUAAAGGCUAGAAAAACUCAUAACCGAGGAAAUUAAGUUCUUUGAAACACGUGUCAUUCCAGACCUGGGCUUCAGAACUCAGAGUUUAGCCACCUUGAUUUGUGGCUGCCAUAAAAUUUUGUUUAAAAGCA